This 348-nucleotide unclassified non-coding RNA is filed under the name Hevea brasiliensis (rubber tree). The record is from RNAcentral. Lineage: Eukaryota; Viridiplantae; Streptophyta; Magnoliopsida; Malpighiales; Euphorbiaceae.
AAGCCAAAAACUAGUCAACGAAGCAAAAUGUUUUCUCUUCAGCAACUAUUGCUCUCUCUUUGCUUAUCCUUCACCGUCUUUUCCUUGAUAGCUCAUGCUUCUGUUCCUCCCUCUGCUACCUUCAAAUAUGUUAAUGAAGGUGAAUUCGGGGAAUAUAUUGUGGAGUAUGGUGCAAAUUACCGAGUCCUCGACCCCUUUGCCCAGCCAUUUCAACUUUGCUUUUAUAACACCACUCCUAAUGCCUAUACUCUUGCUCUGCGUAUGGGUACUGUGAGGUCUGAGUCACUGAUGCGUUGGGUUUGGGAAGCCAACCGUGGCAACCCAGUUGGCGAAAAGGCCACCCUCAUC